GAUGAACGCUAGCUACAGGCUUAACACAUGCAAGUCGAGGGACCGGCGCACGGGUGAGUAACGCGUAUCCAACCUGCCCACCACUUGGGGAUAACCUUGCGAAAGUAAGACUAAUACCCAAUGGUGAUGGAUGGGGAUGCGUCUGAUUAGCUUGUUGGCGGGGUAACGGCCCACCAAGGCAACGAUCAGUAGGGGUUCUGAGAGGAAGGUCCCCCACAUUGGAACUGAGACACGGUCCAAACUCCUACGGGAGGCAGCAGUGAGGAAUAUUGGUCAAUGGACGAGAGUCUGAACCAGCCAAGUAGCGUGCAGGAUGACGGCCUAUGGGUUGUAAACUGCUUUUAUAAGGGAAUAUGUACCUUAUGAAUAAGGACCGGCUAAUUCCGUGCCAGCAGCCGCGGUAAUACGGAAGGUCCGGGCGUUAUCCGGAUUUAUUGGGUUUAAAGGGAGCGUAGGCCGGAGAUUAAGCGUGUUGUGAAAUGUAGACGCUCAACGUCUGCACUGCAGCGCGAACUGGUUUCCUUGAGUACGCACAAAGUGGGCGGAAUUCGUGGUGUAGCGGUGAAAUGCUUAGAUAUCACGAAGAACUCCGAUUGC
This 597-nucleotide ribosomal RNA is filed under the name uncultured bacterium. RNAcentral's name for it is "bacterial SSU rRNA". It matches the Rfam family "Bacterial small subunit ribosomal RNA", at positions 28 to 716 of the family's 1533-position model. The record is from RNAcentral.